This 309-nucleotide ribosomal RNA is filed under the name uncultured bacterium. RNAcentral describes it as "partial 16S ribosomal RNA". It matches the Rfam family "Bacterial small subunit ribosomal RNA", at positions 504 to 809 of the family's 1533-position model. The record is from RNAcentral.
AGAGACAGCAGCAGCCACGGGAAUACAGAGGGUGCGAGCGUUAAUCGGAUUUACUGGGCGUAAAGCGUGCGUAGGCGGCUUCUUAAGUCGGAUGUGAAAUCCCUGAGCUUAACUUAGGAAUUGCAUUCGAUACUGGGAAGCUAGAGUAUGGGAGAGGAUGGUAGAAUUCCAGGUGUAGCGGUGAAAUGCGUAGAGAUCUGGAGGAAUACCGAUGGCGAAGGCAGCCAUCUGGCCUAAUACUGACGCUGAGGUACGAAAGCAUGGGGAGCAAACAGGAUUAGAGACCCGGGUAGUCCCUGUCUCUUAUAA